Capsicum annuum is the source of this 679-nucleotide RNA transcript. It is a transcript of the gene named dihydrodipicolinate reductase-like protein CRR1, chloroplastic, with no coding region annotated. The record is from RefSeq and is a predicted model, not a curated record. NCBI's taxonomy places the organism in Eukaryota, Viridiplantae, Streptophyta, Magnoliopsida, Solanales, Solanaceae.
GAUUUUCCAACCCAGAAUGCAGUCCAAAUUGCUGACAACCUUUCCAAUUUGGGUCAGCUGUAUAAUAGAGAUGACAUUUCUAGCGAUAUUCCGAACUUUGGAAUAAUUGGAUCUAUACAACAACAACAUACCCAGUAUAUUCCCACAAAGUGGGUCUGGGAAGGAUAGAGUGAACGCAGUCCAUACCACUACCUCGGAUGAAGUAGAAAGGCAAUAAUUGGAUCUAUAAACUAGGUAAUUUCUUGACUUCAGGAACAUUCUGAUAUUUGUCCUCUUUUAUCUUCUGUUCUGCAAGGCAAGGGGUCAAGUUAUUGGGGAAGAUGGAGUACGUGUUCACAGCUUGGUUCUACCAGGGCUCCCAUCUAGUACAGCAGUUUACUUCUCAAGGCCAGGAGAGGUGUGCUUCUGAACUGUAGUCUCGGUUCGCUAUGGUAGACAGUGGCCAUAGAUUCUCCCUCGUAUUAUGAAAAUCUCAUCUAUGACUGCUGUUGAUCAGGUUUACACACUAAAGCAUGAUAUUACAGAUGUGCAAUGUCUCAUGCCAGGCUUAAUUCUGGCCAUUAGAAAAGUUGUUCGCCUCAAGAACCUGGUCUAUGGUUUGGAGAAGUUUUUAUAAGCAGACACUGAAGGCUAAAGGAACAGAAGGCAACACUGAGAUGUCUUGUAAAGAGUACACAAA